Molecule: ribosomal RNA, 406 nt
Filed under: uncultured bacterium
Lineage: Bacteria
Description: partial 16S ribosomal RNA
Rfam family: Bacterial small subunit ribosomal RNA
Source: RNAcentral
AUUGAACGCUGGCGGCAGGCCUAACACAUGCAAGUCGAACGAGUGGCGGACGGGUGAGUAAUGUCUGGGAAACUGCCUGAUGGAGGGGGAUAACUACUGGAAACGGUAGCUAAUACCGCAUACCAUCGGAUGUGCCCAGAUGGCAUUAGCUAGUAGGUGGGGUAACGGCUCACCUAGGCGACGAUCCCUAGCUGGUCUGAGAGGAUGUCCAGCCACACUGGAACUGAGACACGGUCCAGACUCCUACGGGAGGCAGAAUUGGGGAAUAUUGCACAAUAGGCGCAAGCCUGACGCGGCCAUGCCGCGUGAAUGAAGAAGGCCUUCGGGUUGUAAAGUACUUGCAGCGGGGAGGCGUUACCCGCAGAAGAGGCACCGGCUAACUCCAUGCCAGCCGCCGCUGUAAUUC